This 751-nucleotide long non-coding RNA is filed under the name Citrus x clementina. Its description in RNAcentral is "Citrus clementina (C. clementina) long non-coding RNA (CCLE_LNC002466)". The record is from RNAcentral. Lineage: Eukaryota; Viridiplantae; Streptophyta; Magnoliopsida; Sapindales; Rutaceae.
CAAAUGUCAGAAUGAAGAUUGUUCACCACACCUGGCAUGUAUGAUGGCAAGGAAGAUUAAUUCUUCACAAGCCAAUUUGAUGAGUGUUAAGACUUUUUGAGAUUUUUGGCAUUAUAUAUUAUUAGAGCUCUCCCUCCUGAGAGAUAUCUCAUUAAAUUUCAGUAGAGCUCUCCCAAUAAUUGCAAGCUUUCAUUUGUUUGUAAAAUCAUCUUCUUAUAUUCAUUGUGUUUCCUUGUGUUAUCAGGUAGAGUAUCAUCUUCAAGGGUUUCAAAAACUCUUUGCAGUAAAGUUUCAACCAAUUGCUGUGAAGAGGCAUAUUCAUUUGAGUAAUUCAGUUUCAGAUUUUCAGGGCGUGUAUGUUUAAUUAGUUUUGAUUAAAAUAUUUAGUCACUCAUUCUGAAUCUUUUCUAAUUUUCAAGUUCCUUAUGGCCACAACCAGUUUUUCAGGUCCGCAGGAACUAUCUUGAGCAUUGAGGAAUUGCGUUUGGGCACACACAGAAACAAGGCUAAUGGAAAAGAACUUGACAGAAGAAUUAUGCUCUAAAUCUAACAAAAGUAUAUUUCUACUUCUUUUGGUUAUUUUACUUUUGUGUUUUCUGUCAUCAUAUUUGAUCGAUUCGUUCGAAUUCGGACUCUUUCUCAUCAUUUAAAACCUUUUUCAGGUGGCUUGCACGCUAAUUAAGUUAACGCAGAAGCAAUACUCUAGACAAAGAUGAGCAAAUUGAAUAUGAUAAAUGCAUAUAUAGUGGCU